Molecule: ribosomal RNA, 430 nt
Filed under: uncultured bacterium
Lineage: Bacteria
Description: bacterial SSU rRNA
Rfam family: Bacterial small subunit ribosomal RNA
Source: RNAcentral
GAUGAAUGCUGGCGGCGUGCCUAAUACAUGCAAGUCGAGCGGUAAGGCCCUUCGGGUACACGAGCGGCGGACGGCUGAGUAACGCGUGGGAACAUGCCCCAAAGUGAGGGAUAACGCACCGAAAGGUGUGCUAAUACCGCAUAUGGUCUUCGGAUUAAAGGAUUUAUCCGCUUUGGGAGUGGCCCGCGUACGAUUAGAUUGUUGGUGAGGUAACGGCUCACCAAGUCGACGAUCGUUAACUGGUCUGAGAGGAUGAUCAGUCAGACUGGAACUGAGACACGGUCCAGACUCCUACGGGAGGCAGCAGUAAGGAAUCUUCCACAAUGGGCGAAAGCCUGAUGGAGCAACGCCGCGUGCAGGAUGAAGGCCCUCGGUCGUAAACUGCUUUUAUGAGUGAAGAAUAUGACGGUAACUCAUGAAUAAGCACCGG